Molecule: long non-coding RNA, 695 nt
Organism: Vigna radiata var. radiata (mung bean)
Lineage: Eukaryota; Viridiplantae; Streptophyta; Magnoliopsida; Fabales; Fabaceae
Exons: 4
Source: RefSeq, a predicted model, not a curated record
UAUGAGUCGACUAGAAGAAAUAUUGGGCAACAGGCUGAUCUGUGGUCGGCCGGCAUCAAGAAUAAAGGGAGACUGAAAUGGCCGAUCGACCACGUCCGAGAGAUUCUGAGAAGAGCCUUAACCUCGGGUCCAAAACGGACAUUAUAUACAGAUAUCAACAGUAAGAGGUAGCCGACCGACCGUUACUGGAGGAAAAACGCUAGAGACGGACGGACUGAAGGUUGGAAAGAAGGCAUAGGUGACCAGACGGCUUGCAGGAUUGAGAAGUAAAUGUGUAGGAGAGCCACCGUCCACCACCUCCACGGUCAUUCUCAUCUCACACAACCGUCAACACCUUAAGAGUUAAAGCCUUGGACACGUGUAUGAUUCUGAGCCACAAACCCAAUUUCCUAUUUCUUAAAUUAUGCACACAUGAUGUUUGAAAUAAGAGAAAUGGACUAUACGGUAUAUAUAUGUAGCGGAGUUAGGUGGGCGGCUAUUCAUGUCACUUGGGUGUUGUUAUCGCAAUCCUCGUCAUCGUUGUUUUUCCAAUUUUAUUUAUUUCCAGAAAACUAUGCAUAGAAACAUUGCUUCAGUGGCACAUUUGUUGUCCAUGUCUGAGAGUGGUUGGAAAGAUACGACCAAAACAUAUUUCUAAUCACUCACACGCUGGAGGAUUCCAAUAAUUGCUGUCUUCUUCUCAAAACAUUAACUUA